Molecule: long non-coding RNA, 181 nt
Organism: Amblyraja radiata (thorny skate)
Lineage: Eukaryota; Metazoa; Chordata; Chondrichthyes; Rajiformes; Rajidae
Exons: 2
Source: RefSeq, a predicted model, not a curated record
GUCAAAAAGGCUUUUGGCACUUUGGCCUUCAUCAGUCAGAGUACAGAGUAUAGAAUUGGGAGGUCAUGUUGCAGUUGUCUAAGACGUUGCUGAGACCGUAUUUCGAAUAUUGUGUUCAGUUCUGGGCACAAUGUUAGAGGAAAGACAUUGUCAAGCUUGAAAGGGUUCAGAGAAGAUUUAC